AAGAAUCUGUAUACAAACAAGUAGAGCUAACAAAUUAAAUUAUUCGCAAGAAGGCAAGGUCUUGUCAUCUUCUUUGCCCGUAGAAAAUUCUGUAUACAAGUAUGAACCUUUUUAUUUUCCAAUAUCAAUGGAACAAUAAUGAUCAAGUUGAUGUGUGUUGUUACAACAACUCGUACAAGGAAAUUAAGGUUUGGUUGAAAAAUAUCCUUGAACCUGAAUCCAAUUCUGUAAUCAACUGCUGCUAAUGGGCAUUAGUCUUCCUCAUCCACUUCAUGAA
RNAcentral lists this unclassified non-coding RNA (277 nucleotides) under Hevea brasiliensis (rubber tree). The record is from RNAcentral. Lineage: Eukaryota; Viridiplantae; Streptophyta; Magnoliopsida; Malpighiales; Euphorbiaceae.